RNAcentral lists this long non-coding RNA (383 nucleotides) under Mus pahari (shrew mouse). RNAcentral describes it as "lncRNA (MGP_PahariEiJ_G0003608.1)". The record is from RNAcentral. Lineage: Eukaryota; Metazoa; Chordata; Mammalia; Rodentia; Muridae.
CUCCACCAACGGGGUCAGCAUAACGAUGACAGUGCAGCCACUCUCCCACACCAUCUAAGGACAGAGAUCCAGCCAGGCAUGCUGGACCACGCCUGUAUCCUACACUCUGGAGGUAGAGGCAGGAACAUGAGUUUUUCAGAGCAUCCUAGACUACAGCAAAACCACAUAUCAAGAAGAAGAAAGCCCUAAUAACCUACAAUAACCUCCGUGGAGAUGGGAGCUGCUGGCCUCCCUGACUGGACACUCACCAAGAUUUCUUCCUGUGCCCUUGGGCAGCAACUGCAGCAGGGUCAAGAGGGUAGAAAGCUGCUCCGGGGUCAGCUGACGCAGCUCUACUCCAUAACCUGCCAGUAUAGCAGCCAAUCUCUGCAAACUCACAUCUG